UUUUAGGCCUUGUGGAUGUAUGGGUAGAUACUAGGUCUUUUAGGCCUUGUGGAUGUAUGGGUAGAUACUAGGUAUUUUAGGCCUUGUGGAUGUAUGGGUAGAUACUAGGUCUUUUAGGCCUUGUGGAUGUAUGGGUAGAUACUAGGUCUUUUAGGCCUUGGAUGCAUCUAUAGAUACUAGGUAUUUUAGGCCUUGGAUGUAUGGGUAGAUACUAGGUAUUUUAGGCCUUGGAUGUAUGGGUAGAUACUAGGUAUUUUAGGCCUUGUGGAUGUAUGGGUAGAUACUAGGUCUUUUAGGCCUUGUGGAUGUAUGGGUAGAUACUAGGNUUUUAGGCCUUGUGGAUGUAUGGGUAGAUACUAGGUCUUUUAGGCCUUGUGGAUGUAUGGGUAGAUACUAGGCCUUGGUUGGGAUAGAUGCCAUCUUCACUGGAAGAGGCAGUCACACCCAACGGACUAUCUAAUUGGGACAAAUUUAGUCAAAUGACUGAUUAGUCAGGUUGAAUUGCUGUGUGUCUGUGUGAAUGUGUAUGUGUGUUUUUUUCUGUUUAUUGCAGUUGAAAAAAGUUUGACAAGUUUGCAGAAAACAGUGAGAAAUGUGCUGGUAGCAUAAACCUCUCAUCAUCAUGGUAAUAUCAGGCUACAAUCCAUGGCAGCAGCUCCAGUGACAAUGUAUCAGCUAUUUCCCAACACAUACAGUAGGGUGCUGAAUACCAACCAGUUUUAGACUGAACGUGUUACACAUCAAUCAAAUGUGACAAACAAACAGUGUUAUUUUGUAAUAUGUAUAUUCAGCGCUUUCGGAAAGUAUUCAGAUGCCUUGACUUUUUCCACAUUUUGUUACGUUACAGCCUUAU
Molecule: non-coding RNA, 853 nt
Organism: Salvelinus sp. IW2-2015
Lineage: Eukaryota; Metazoa; Chordata; Actinopteri; Salmoniformes; Salmonidae
Source: RefSeq, a predicted model, not a curated record